Molecule: long non-coding RNA, 864 nt
Organism: Rhinichthys klamathensis goyatoka
Lineage: Eukaryota; Metazoa; Chordata; Actinopteri; Cypriniformes; Leuciscidae
Exons: 4
Source: RefSeq, a predicted model, not a curated record
UACGCGGGAAAGAGGCGGACUGACUUCCCGUUUGAUCACUACUGCAUGUGCAACAAGUCAUAUACGCGGGAAUAUCUCCAAUUUCCCGGCAAAUGUCCGGGAGUUUGUCAGUCAGCUCUCUACAGUAGAGAGAGAGAGAAACAAGUUUUUAACUCGUGUUAUGAAAAUGUUGGCAGGAACACCUUGCUUUUUAAGACUGUCAAGGACCUUUUUCAGUUUAUUCAGUAUGGACCUUUAUUCAUUUUUUUAGGCUUUAUACGACGGUUUGCAGUGGAGUGAGAGGGAAAAACUUUAAAGAAUAGGCCUACCAUAAUUGAAUGCCUAUGGAGGGUUCUAAGAAGAGGCUGGACAUUCCUGUGCUGCGGUGGACAUGGUGACUCUGAGAUAAAGCUUUCAGUUGAAGAAACAGCGCCACCUCUUGGUUUGAGCACUGUACGACCAUGGCAUUACAGUGAAGAUGGAGGUGGAAGAACGGUUUAGAAUACUUGGAUCAAGAUGAAGAAACAACUUUAUACGUUUAGCACUUCAGAGAUGGAGGAUUGGCCGUGGCCCCCUUGCAAUCAUCGCUGUCCCAGACACUUAUGUCACAAAUUCGUGAGAGGAGCCGAUGUCAAGACGUGGGGCAGAGUUACUGGCGCUCUCGCCUCAUGUGUGCACAAGGAGUUUUGGACCUACGUUGUGUUUGGUUUGGUCCAUGCAAGGCAUCAAUAGAGCAUUAUCUUGUCUAUUUGAUGGUGCUACGGAGUUCUGCCAAGCUGUUGGGCCUAAGAUUUAAUUUGGCCAACAGUGAAAAAUGAGAUUUCUGUAGACAAAUGGAUCAAUCAUUCGUUCACACUUCAUUGUAUACGGGGGAAUAUCAGGGCU